Molecule: ribosomal RNA, 491 nt
Filed under: uncultured bacterium
Lineage: Bacteria
Description: partial 16S ribosomal RNA
Rfam family: Bacterial small subunit ribosomal RNA
Source: RNAcentral
AGUGAACGCUGGCGGUAGGCCUAACACAUGCAAGUCGAACGCAGCACAGUAAGAGCUUGCUCUUACGGGUGGCGAGUGGCGGACGGGUGGGGAAUACAUCGGAAUCUACUUUUUCGUGGGGGAUAACGUAGGGAAACUUACGCUAAUACCGCAUACGACCUACGGGUGAAAGCAGGGGAUCUUCGGACCUUGCGCGAUUGCAUGAGCCGAUGUCGGAUUAGCUAGUUGGCGGGGUAAAGGCCCACCAAGGCGACGAUCCGUAGCUGGUCUGAGAGGAUGAUCAGCCACACUGGAACUGAGACACGGUCCAGACUCCUACGGGAGGCAGCAGUGGGGAAUAUUGGACAAUGGGCGCAAGCCUGAUCCAGCCAUACCGCGUGGGUGAAGAAGGCCUUCGGGUUGUAAAGCCCUUUUGUUGGGAAAGAAAAGCAGCAGGUUAAUACCCCGCUGUUCUGACGGUACCCAAAGAAUAAGCACCGGCUAACUUCGUG